GCGCUGUAGGCUGUCAGAACCCUGGAUCACGUUAAACCCCUGUUCGUGCAUCUAGCAUAUUGCGUCGGAUAGAGUCAUACGCUGCAAGGCCGCAAAAUCGUAGAAGGAUGGGCCGUUCAGUUCUCUCUCACUUUCUCAAUCUCUCGAACCCCUCUCCACGCUUCACAUCUUCACUGUCGUCUGGCGCAAUUCCAAGUAAAUUAUUGAAAAAAUCUGGAUCAAUUGGUCAGCAUUGUCUUCUAAACAGACAAAUCAGGACAGGUUUUCGAUGCUGUUGCAGUAUCUCGGUUUCGCAGCCUGCUGGCCAGGAGAGUUCUUCAAGCCCUCUGAGGAAGAGGAUAGUGUCUGGGGUUCAGCCAACUGGGACUAUACACCUAGGAAAUUAUCUUGGUGCUAUAAAAAAUUGGAUCCCACUUCAGAAUACAUAUGAUACUUUCUUCUUUAUUGUGGACCUCCAUGCGAUAACAUUACCUUAUGAAACACAACAAUUAUUUAAAGCAACGAGGGAUACAGCAGCAAUUUAUUUGGCAUGUGGCGUGGACACCUCCAAGGCCUCUGUCUUUGUUCAGUCUCAUGUUCGUGCCCAUUCAGAAUUGAUGUGGUUACUGAGUUCUGCCACUCCAAUUGGUUGGUUGAACAAAAUGAUUCAGUUCAAAGAGAAAUCCCGGAAAGUGGGAGAUGAAAAUGUUGGGGUUGCCCUUCUGACUUAUCCUGUUCUCAUGGCUUCUGAUAUUCUUUUAUAUCAGUCUGAUUUUGUCCCAGUUGGGGAGGAUCAGAAGCAGCAUCUGGAACUGACCCGUGAGCUGGCUGAACGUGUUAAUUAUUUAUAUGGAGGAAGGAAGUGGAAGAAAUUGGGAGGGCGAGGAGGUGCAAUUUUUAAGGUUCCUGAGCCCCUUAUUCCACCAGAAGGAGCACGUGUAAUGUCCCUUACAGAUGGUUGUUCCAAGAUGUCCAAGUCUGCUUCUUCAGAUCAGUCUCGUAUCAACCUUCUUGACCCAAAAGAUGUAAUUGCAAACAAGAUCAAACGUUGUAAAACUGACUCAUUUCCUGGCCUGGAAUUUGACAAUCCUGAGCGACCUGAAUGCAACAACCUUCUUACAAUUUAUCAGCUAAUGUCAGGCAGGACAAAAGAGGAAGUUGCGCAUGAAUGCCAAGAUAUGAACUGGGGUGUGUUCAAGAGAAUCCUAACGGAUGCAUUGAUUGAUCAUCUACAUCCCAUCCAGGUUCGCUACGAGGAAAUUAUGUCUGAUUCAGCUUAUUUGGAUAGGCUCUUGGCAGAGGGUGCCACAAAAGCUGCAGAUAUAGCUGAUGCUACUCUCAAUAAUGUCUAUCAGGCGAUGGGAUUCUUGCGAAGAUGAGCAGAACUGAUGCUGCAAUAAGAAUUUAUGUGGAAAGACCUCUAAGAAAGUGACCUUAAAACUAACUUUUGGAUGAUCCAUUGUUGCCCACAAGUUUUGGACUAUAUACAUAAGCAUAUUCUUGAUGAGAAAAAAGGUUAUGUGAUGGGUUGGCCCCAUGAAUUCAUUGGUGCAGUUGCCUCAGCCUCUCCUGUCUGGACAGGUUUGCAGAAUGGACAUCGCUGGAAAUUUCUUCUGUGCUGCUUGCCUGUGAAUUAAGCUGAUUCAUGGAAUUAUUAGGAUAUUCUGAUAAGGGCAUUCGCUAAAGAGCAUGCUGACUACUGGCAACAUGUGCAAGAACAUUACAUCUCAAAACUCUGCUGAGAUCUGAGACCACUACACAACCCAACCCCCCAACACCCACACCCCAAAACAAAAAUAGAUAGAGAAGAAUCUAAACGAAUCUUUCGUCAUCUGGUGGACACUCAGGAAAUUGGAUUUAUGAAGAAUUCUAUCUAGGGACGGUAACUGAAACCCAUUUAGUUCUAGGUGUCGUCAUGUCCAUGGUUGGAUUCUUAUCAACAUGGAAGAAAGUGAUAGGAAGAGGGAAUAUCUGUCCAUGAAUUGAAAGAAAAAAUAUCAAUUCAUAUUCUCAUCCAAUUGCAUCCACCCACAGCCUUUCUUUCUUUUACAAAGGAAGAGAUGUGACCACAUAUUUGUGAAAACCAUGGGAAAGACAGUGAGAGGUCAAUGGCACCGUGAAAUCCUUUCCUCUCCCUCCCUCUCCCUUUCUCCCAUGGGUGGGUGGCAAAGGAAUAAAGGGUGCAUCUCUUCUCAAUGCUUCUCUCUUUUAACAUUUUCCUGAAAAUUAGAGACAGAGAGUGAUGGUUACAGAAAGACAAGGCAGAGUCUGCUGUCUGCUAAUUUAAAGAUGGGCGUAUAGUACUUGGUUUGAGUGUGGGUGUUUACUUGAUUUAUUGUUAACAAUGGUGCCUAAGCUACAAAAGGUUAAGUCUUAUAGUGUCUGAAGCUACAUCACAAUUAUGAUUAUGAGAUCUCUUUACCAGAAGAAUUUGUUUCAUAGGCAAGCAGUUGCAGACAAGAUAAUUUAUGAUAGCUCCCAACCCUAAUCUCCCAUUAGAAUUUCGGGUUUUUUAAUUUUGUGGAAACUUCAUUUGCCUAAUGGGUAAUAGUUUUGUGAAUUGCUCA
Molecule: RNA transcript, 2546 nt
Organism: Vitis riparia (riverbank grape)
Lineage: Eukaryota; Viridiplantae; Streptophyta; Magnoliopsida; Vitales; Vitaceae
Gene name: tryptophan--tRNA ligase, chloroplastic/mitochondrial
Exons: 17
Source: RefSeq, a predicted model, not a curated record